This 143-nucleotide ribosomal RNA is filed under the name uncultured eukaryote. Its description in RNAcentral is "partial small subunit ribosomal RNA". The record is from RNAcentral.
GUACACACCGCCCGUCAAGCCACGAAAGUGGGGGGCAUCCGAAAGCGCCGYGCYAACCGCAAGGGGGUAAGCGUCUAAGAUGAACUCCGUGAUUGGGACUAAGUCGUAACAAGGUAGCCGUAGGUGAACCUGCAGAAGGAUCA